Molecule: ribosomal RNA, 506 nt
Filed under: uncultured bacterium
Lineage: Bacteria
Description: partial 16S ribosomal RNA
Rfam family: Bacterial small subunit ribosomal RNA
Source: RNAcentral
AUUGAACGCUGGCGGCAGGCCUAACACAUGCAAGUCGAGCGGCAGCGGAAAGUAGCUUGCUACUUUGCCGGCGAGCGGCGGACGGGUGAGUAAUGUCUGGGAAACUGCCUGAUGGAGGGGGAUAACUACUGGAAACGGUAGCUAAUACCGCAUAACGUCGCAAGACCAAAGAGGGGGACCUUCGGGCCUCUUGCCAUCAGAUGUGCCCAGAUGGGAUUAGCUAGUAGGUGGGGUAACGGCUCACCUAGGCGACGAUCCCUAGCUGGUCUGAAAGGAUGACCAGCCACACUGGAACUGGGACACGGUCCAGACUCCUACGGGAGGCAGCAGUGGGUAAUAUUGCACAAUGGGCGCAAGCCUGAUGCAGCCAUGCCGCGUGUAUGAAGAAGGCCUUCGGGUUGUAAAGUACUUUCAGCGGGGAGGAAGGUGUUGAGGUUAAUAACCUCAGCAAUUGACGUUACCCGCAGAGGAAGCACCGGCUAACUCCGUGCCAGCCGCCGCGGUAA